ACGGGAGGCAGCAGUGGGGAAUAUUGCACAAUGGGCGCAAGCCUGAUGCAGCAACGCCGCGUGGGGGAUGACGGCCUUCGGGUUGUAAACCUCUUUUAGUAGGGAAGAAGGGCUUCGGCUUGACGGUACCUGCAGAAAAAGGACCGGCUAACUACGUGCCAGCAGCCGCGGUAAUACGUAGGGUCCGAGCGUUGUCCGGAAUUAUUGGGCGUAAAGAGCUCGUAGGCGGUUUGUCGCGUCUGCUGUGAAAUCCCGAGGCUCAACCUCGGGCCUGCAGUGGGUACGGGCAGACUUGAGUGGUGUAGGGGAGACUGGAAUUCCUGGUGUAGCGGUGGAAUGCGCAGAUAUCAGGAGGAACACCGAUGGCGAAGGCAGGUCUCUGGGCACUUACUGACGCUGAGGAGCGAAAGCGUGGGGAGCGAACAGGAUUAGAUACCCUGGUA
Molecule: ribosomal RNA, 443 nt
Filed under: uncultured Agromyces sp.
Lineage: Bacteria; Bacillati; Actinomycetota; Actinomycetes; Micrococcales; Microbacteriaceae
Description: bacterial SSU rRNA
Rfam family: Bacterial small subunit ribosomal RNA
Source: RNAcentral